RNAcentral lists this ribosomal RNA (488 nucleotides) under uncultured bacterium. Its description in RNAcentral is "bacterial SSU rRNA". It matches the Rfam family "Bacterial small subunit ribosomal RNA", at positions 29 to 524 of the family's 1533-position model. The record is from RNAcentral.
ACGAACGCUGGCGGCACGCCUAACACAUGCAAGUCGAGCCGAGAAAGUGACUUCGGUCGCGAGUAAAGCGGCGAACGGGUGAGUACAACGUGGAUAAUCUACCCUAAGGUCUGGGACAACCCCGAGAAAUCGGGGCUAAUACCGGAUAAGACCACAGUAUCCAAGGAUACAGCGGUAAAAGAUUUAUCGCCUUUGGAUGAGUCCACGCCCCAUCAGGUAGUUGGUAAGGUAAAGGCUUACCAAGCCUAAGACGGGUAGCCGGCCUUAGCGGGUGAACGGCCACAUGGGGACUGAGACACGGCCCUGACUCCUACGGGAGGCAGCAGUGGGGAAUAUUGGGCAAUGGGCGAAAGCCUGACCCAGCGAUGCCGCGUGAGGGAUGAAGGCCUUCGGGUUGUAAACCUCUGUCAGGAGGGACGAUGGGACUUUGUCUUGACGGUACCUCCAGAGGAAGCCCCGGCUAACUCCGUGCCAGCAGCCGCGGUAAU